This is a long non-coding RNA of Daphnia magna, 415 nucleotides long. RefSeq lists it as uncharacterized. The transcript is spliced from 2 exons. The record is from RefSeq and is a predicted model, not a curated record. NCBI's taxonomy places the organism in Eukaryota, Metazoa, Arthropoda, Branchiopoda, Diplostraca, Daphniidae.
GGUGUUGGCGGCCAUCGUUGUUUAGCUUGGCAGUCAGUGACUGGUGAUGUCUUUCAGCUUCCCAAAGUCUUCGCACCAGCCAGCAAGUCAGCACUGAUUUCGCACAAACAGGAAACUAAUGUAUAGCGAGAGCCGGAAAUUUGACAGUGAAAACACACGCGAAUUUCAUUUCAACACUUACCCGUCAACACCAGACAAGGUCCCAGUUUCAUGACGACCGAGUACGCCCACAAAUGGGCCUGAAAUUGACAAUGGAAUACGUUAUCUUUUAAUGAAAAGGUCAGCGAGCAUCGAAGAAUGCAUUGAGCUCGCACGCUACAAUUUUUUACCGAUUCUCUAACACGUCGUUAUUCGAGAAAGACCUGUUGUUCUGUUAUGAAUCAAUACGCAGAUAUACUCUCUUGCACACAUUUAA